This 429-nucleotide ribosomal RNA is filed under the name uncultured bacterium. Its description in RNAcentral is "bacterial SSU rRNA". It matches the Rfam family "Bacterial small subunit ribosomal RNA", at positions 355 to 776 of the family's 1533-position model. The record is from RNAcentral.
UCGAGAAUAAUUCGCAAUGGGCGAAAGCCUGACGAUGCGACGCCGUGUGAGCGAAGAAGGCCUUCGGGUUGUAAAGCUCUGUCGCUUGGGAACAAGAUACUUAGGUGAAUAGCCUAAGUGUUUGAGAGUACCAGGAAAGGAAGCACCGGCUAACUCCGUGCCAGCAGCUGCGGUAAUACGGAGGGUGCAGGCGUUAGUCGGAAUUACUGGGCGUAAAGGGCGCGUAGGCGGGGAUGUAAGUCAGACGUGAAAUUCCGAAGCUCAACUUCGGAGCGGCAUCUGAAACUGCAUUUCUAGAGGAAAAGCGGAGAAAAUGGAAUUCCACGUGUAGCGGUGAAAUGCGUAGAUAUGUGGAAGAACACCUGUGGCGAAAGCGGUUUUCUAGCUUAAACCUGACGCUGAGGCGCGAAAGCAAGGGGAGCAAACAGG